AGAAGGAGAGAAAAAAAAAAAAGACAACAUUCCUAGUGAUCUUUCCGUGGGAAUGCGGCAAGGAGUCAGCAGGCAUAGUGAAAAUGGGCGGCGAUGGAUACUCCCAGCACUUGCUGAGCACUGCUACGCCUCAGGACUGGGACAGGACAGAAGAGCUCCUUGGCACUGGAUGCCUCCGGGUCUGGUUGAGAGAGGAAUGGUUAGGAGACUGUUCUGAGGAUACGCAGACAUCAUCCAAAGCUUCCUACAUUCAGAUGAGGACAGAGGUUGGGCCAGAGCUUUGUAAGCUUGUUACCUAAGGAUGGUUCUGACCAUGUAAGCAGAUCACAGAAGAGCCAGCCUUGACAAUGUGCUGAUGGCAACCU
RNAcentral lists this long non-coding RNA (365 nucleotides) under Homo sapiens (human). Its description in RNAcentral is "PROX1 antisense RNA 1". Lineage: Eukaryota; Metazoa; Chordata; Mammalia; Primates; Hominidae. The record is from RNAcentral.